This 515-nucleotide ribosomal RNA is filed under the name uncultured Bacillota bacterium. RNAcentral describes it as "bacterial SSU rRNA". It matches the Rfam family "Bacterial small subunit ribosomal RNA", at positions 390 to 896 of the family's 1533-position model. Lineage: Bacteria; Bacillati; Bacillota. The record is from RNAcentral.
AGCAACGCCGCGUGAGUGAAGAAGGUUUUCGGAUCGUAAAACUCUGUUGUAAGGGAAGAACACGUACGAGAGUAACUGCUCGUACCUUGACGGUACCUUAUUAGAAAGCCACGGCUAACUACGUGCCAGCAGCCGCGGUAAUACGUAGGUGGCAAGCGUUGUCCGGAAUUAUUGGGCGUAAAGCGCGCGCAGGCGGUUCUUUAAGUCUGAUGUGAAAGCCCACGGCUCAACCGUGGAGGGUCACUGGAAACUGGAGAACUUGAGUACAGAAGAGGAAAGCGGAAUUCCACGUGUAGCGGUGAAAUGCGUAGAGAUGUGGAGGAACGCCAGUGGCGAAGGCGGCUUUCUGGUCUGUAACUGACGCUGAGGCGCGAAAGCGUGGGGAGCAAACAGGAUUAGAUACCCUGGUAGUCCACGCCGUAAACGAUGAGUGCUAAGUGUUAGGGGGUUUCCGCCCCUUAGUGCUGCAGCUAACGCAUUAAGCACUCCGCCUGGGGAGUACGGCCGCAAGGCUG